Molecule: long non-coding RNA, 218 nt
Filed under: Pongo abelii (Sumatran orangutan)
Lineage: Eukaryota; Metazoa; Chordata; Mammalia; Primates; Hominidae
Description: lincRNA
Source: RNAcentral
GUUAAGUAGGGUCUGGCCUGGAAUACUCUUCUAGAUGAAAAUAGCCCAACCAUGAGCCACCUUCUCAGCAGAUGAGAUGAAAUUAAAGCUCUUCACCUCCUCAAGGCCCAGAGACUAUCACAAAAGAGGUCAGAAAUCCUGAAGAUCACUUUCUGACAAACUCAGGAGCUCCAGGUUUAUCUUGGAACCUCAAGAGGAGAGAAAUUCACCCAACUCAG